AACCCCGAACCUGAUCGUGAUGGCGCCUCUCGUGAAGACAAGGCCAGCCAGACCCAAGCAGAACACCUCGUUUAAACAACUAAAUACCAUAAAUAUUCUAAAACAUGAUAUAAUAAUCAUAAUUUGCGGAAGUAACGAUAACAAUAGUAGAAACCAUCCCGACACAACCCAAGUCGGGGUGUCACAAGUCAUGAGCAACUAAUAAAUUCGGAUACCGGUCUAUUAGAUACGAAAUCCAAUACAGAAGUUCAAGGACAUAAAAAUAGUAAGAUAAGGGAGGCACGGGGCUGCAGACGCCAACAACUACCUCGUAGUCUCCAAAAAUACUGCCUGGACUGGGAGGAUCAGCACUCAGGAGCGGACUCUGCGAUGCCUGAAUCUGCAUACACGGUGCAUGGAGUAAUGUGAGUACCCCGACUCAGUGAGUAAUAAUCAUAAAUAAUGGCUGAAAGCAAUAAAAUACAUAAAGGCACAAAACAAUUGUAUAUCAAGCAGUAAAAAUCACUUAAAGUAGUAAAUCAGUGAAGACGACAAGUGAAAUCUCUUUAAAUCAGGUAAAACGGUAAUUUAGCAGGUAAGUAACAAGCAGAAAUCCACCCCUCGAGCACAAUGUUAAUCACUUAGAAAAAUAUCAGCGCCUCGAGCUCACUCUCAUCACUUGGUGCUCAUUCUCAGCUCUCGACCCAUAUAUCUCUCAUAAUAACAGAAAUCAGAAUAACCGCUACGGUGUGCAGCCCGUUCCGUACAUCGCUGCGGCGUGCAGCCCGAUCCAUAAAGAUAGUCGAGUGCGCUCACUGGGGGUGUGCAUACUCCGGAGGGGCUCCUACAACCCAAGCGCUAUAUUGCUGCAGCGUGCAGCCCGAUCCAUAUAAGUAUUGCAGCGGUGUGCAGCCCGAUCCAUAACAUAUAUAAUAUCCUCACCAUUGGGUUCUCAACCCCUCUCAGUCAUUAACCUCACAGUCUCUCGAGCACAAUAAUAGAAGAUAGGGAUCUCAGCCCACAAAUUCCUCUCAUUUAGGAAUAGUAUGACAAAACCGGCUCGAAUCGUUUAAAAUAGAGAGAAACAUGAGCGAGGAUACAAUUUUUAACAAGUAUAGUGAGGAAAAUCAGUCAAAAUCCCCGAAGGGUUCAAAUAGUUAACACGAAGCCCAAAUAUGAAAAUUAGCCCCAAAUCAUGAUGAUAACAAGUAAGUUUCAGUCAAAUACGCGGUAAAAUCACCAAUCGGGACGGACCAAGUCUCAAUCCCCCGUAGUAAAAGAUCCAACGCUCAUCAUCGGGCGUAUGUCUCACCUCAAUAUAGCACUACGAUGUGUAAUUCGUGGUUUCAAACCCUCAGAGCAUCAUUUACAAUCAUUGCUCACCU
This 1364-nucleotide long non-coding RNA is filed under the name Nicotiana tabacum (common tobacco). RNAcentral's name for it is "long non-coding RNA (NTAB_LNC002175)". Lineage: Eukaryota; Viridiplantae; Streptophyta; Magnoliopsida; Solanales; Solanaceae. The record is from RNAcentral.